UUAAUUUGCAUCCAACUUUUUUUUUAUCUGACAGAUUGGUCUAUUUUCACUUUGAAUCCCUACAUUACCCAUGUUCGAUUGCACACUGGUGGUGAUGCCAGUGAAAUCUCAUUUCUAUCUAAAGAGAGCGGCAGCGCUUUAGUCCUUUAGUCUGUCCAGUGCUUUUACCUCCUCAUCUGUACACUUUGCUCAAACAGAUCAGCUUCCAAAACUUCGACUUUAAUGCUAAUCCUGGCGUCAAUUCCAUCAUGCCUGACAUGUCAUAAAUUGCCAACUAGCUGAGCCGAGUUUCUUCCGUAACUCAGAACUCUGGUGACAUUUUCUGUCACCACUACACUGGAUUUCUCAUUAAUAUGACAUCGAACACAGCUGCAAAAUGCUGAGUGAGAAAAUAAACUCGUUUUUUUCUUUGUUUUUUGGGAGCUAACAGUAAAACCUGGCCGUUCAAAAACCUGAUCACGUAUGCUUGAGAUUGUUUACAUUUUGUCUCCUGCAUUGUCCUUCUCACUGGAAUAACUAAGCACUAAGCACGUCACGUAUAUUUUGAUAUAAACAUAUUCAAUACGUUUUAGGGUGGAGUUUUCCUCUAAGCUUCAAGUGCUUGGAUUGGAUCCUCUUUCUAUGUCACUUUUGGGCCAUAUUCAGAAUUAGAGACUUGGGUCCAAAGUUAUGUUAAUAUUCAGAUAGCGAAGUCAAAGUUAUUCAUAAUCAUAGACAGGUUACGGAACUGCUUAUGAAAAUUUUCUGUGAGGCCUACGCUUUUUUUAUGCAAAUGACUUGCCUUCAGGUUGCCAGGUUUAUCUUGAGCAGAAGCAUAGCAGACGGGGCUUUGCAGUCGCAUCUAGACCAUUGCCUUUAAACACAAGCCUAUAAGCCAGAAAAACAAUCAGGGACAGAAAAUGCAGACGGAAUACAGAAACAGCUUUUGUAUUUAAUAUGAAGAUACAUGAAUGAAAUGAUGGCAAGCAUUGAAAUAAACAUCUACUGGUCUAAUUUAUCGGCGGUAUAUUGCAGCAUUGCUAGUCCUAGUCAUAACAUUAAUCACUACAAAUUUGAUCGCCCUCGUUAUUUGGCAGCUUAUAAAAUAACACUUGAUCCAGCACAUUUAAGAUCAAGGCUUAUUGUGCACGUAAAUCAAUCGAGGCAAGAAAUAGCCAAGACAAUAUGGUCCUUUAGAUUAUAAAAUCAUGUGCCAAGUGAAUAAAAUGUUAAAAUGCCCAUUCAAUUAGGCUUAUUAUCAUAUAAUAACCAAACCGUGAGUGUAACUACUCAUUGUAACAGUACACCAACCCCUGGAGCUUUCUGGACUCCACCCGCAGGACGUUCGAUGUAGAAGAAAACCUGCACAUUAUCCAUAAUUACAUCUUGAUUUUUCCUUCUUUGCUUAUAAGAAUGGCCACCAUUGCUGUUUUAUGUACAGCUGCUUGAAUUCUUAACAGUAAAACCUUUUGUAUUCUGCCCACUGGAUGUUUGAUGGAGAGGUACGAGUUUCCACGUUACCUUGGCUCUCUGGAUGACGUAUUGACUCUCAUGUUCCCUAACAGAUGGUGUUUUCUUGUCGUUUCCCUUUAUCCCGUCUCUUACACUCUCUCUCAUGUCUCUCAGUUUCACUGGCAUGGACAGAUGCUUUACUUUAUGUAUGUGUGUAGCAAUGAAAGCAGGUAUGCACAUACAGCAGUGGUUUUUUGGACGCACCAUAUGGAAGUGUACAGUAGUCACAAAUCUAUUAUCGAACACAGCAUGUGGGUUUUCUAAAUGUAAUACACGUGUCCCCUCUUUAACAUUUACUAUGCACUUGUAUGUUGUUUGUAUGUUGUGUAAUGGCAUGUCCAUGACCUCAGUAUAACAUCUGAACUCGUUACAAAAGCUCUAUCAGGUGCAGUAUCUUAAUAACCGUGAUAUGACUCAAGUAUCUUUUUAAACGUGGUACAACUCAAGGAUAAUAAUACAACCCCUUUAACACAUUCUAUUGUACACAUAUGAAAAGCUAUCGUGUGUGUGUGUGUGUCCUGCUCUGAUGUUUAUUAUACUCGUAUAGAUGCUUUAUAGUGGGAAAAAAUUAACAGUGAUAUCUGCCAUGUUGUCUCUGUUCUGGUUCAGGUCAUAGGUUGCAAUUGUGCAGUGUCUCAGUUACUUAUCUUGCUCUCUCUCUCACACACACACACACACACACACACACAAACACGAAAACACACACAGAGUUCAGUGGAGAAAAAAUGUGUGCAGUGCAUGGACUCUCCAUAACUUGCACUGGGAAACACUACAUUAUUAAAAACCUACUUUGGGAUGCUUUACAUUGUUUAAUUUGAGGAAAUGGCAAUGUGUGUGUGUUUUUUUUGUUUUGUUUUUUAAAAAUAAAAUGUAGUAGCACCUGGUCACUUUUUAUGUUUGCUAGACUAAGGCUGCGUUCCAAUACUGGUCUUGACACAUUCUUAUUGACUUCCCCUUAUCUUUGUGUAUAGAAGUGACCAUUGUGUGGAAUUGUAAUCCCCAUUGGCCUCCUUAGAGUUAUUCCACUUCUCUAAUUAUAAUAAGAAGAAGAAUAAGAAGCAGAAGAAUAUAUUAAGUAUUUUUUUAUAUUAUAAGCACAGGUAUGUAAAGAGUGUUUUAGAGAAUGCAGAUCAAUUUAAUCUGAAAGAAAAAAAAGAUGACGAUGACAGAAAAAGGCAAUAAAACUGGAGGUCAAAUGAUGGACUAGAGGUGAAGUGAAAAAUAUUAGAUAACCAUUUGGAGGGAUUGAUUCACUGGCCAGGUCCCAGCUGGCAUGCUGGCUAAUUAACACACCACCAGUUAAGCUAGCUAAUGAGCAAGCUGAAUUCUCUAGAUAAGAAAAAGUACAAUUAAUCAGUAAACUGCUUCACCUUGGAUGUGCUUUCUAACAAG
This is a long non-coding RNA of Ictalurus punctatus (channel catfish), 2883 nucleotides long. Lineage: Eukaryota; Metazoa; Chordata; Actinopteri; Siluriformes; Ictaluridae. The record is from Ensembl.